Molecule: ribosomal RNA, 200 nt
Filed under: uncultured bacterium
Lineage: Bacteria
Description: partial 16S ribosomal RNA
Rfam family: Bacterial small subunit ribosomal RNA
Source: RNAcentral
AGCGAACGCUGGCGGCAGGCCUAACACAUGCAAGUCGAACGGACCCUUCGGGGUUAGUGGCGGACGGGUGAGUAACACGUGGGAACGUGCCUUUUGGUUCGGAACAACUCAGGGAAACUUGAGCUAAUACCGAAUGUGCCCUUGGGGAAAGAUUUAUCGCCAUUAGAGCGGCCCGCGUCUGAUUAGCUUGUUGGUGAGGU